GUAGGGAAUCUUGCGCAAUGGGCGAAAGCCUGACGCAGCCAUGCCGCGUGAAUGAUGAAGGUCUUAGGAUUGUAAAAUUCUUUCACCGGGGACGAUAAUGACGGUACCCGGAGAAGAAGCCCCGGCUAACCUCGUGCCAGCAGCCGCGGUAAUACGAAGGGGGCUAGCGUUGCUCGGAAUUACUGGGCGUAAAGGGAGCGUAGGCGGAUAGUUUAGUCAGAGGUGAAAGCCCAGGGCUCAACCUUGGAAUUGCCUUUGAUACUGGCUAUCUUGAGUAUGGAAGAGGUAUGUGGAACUCCGAGUGUAGAGGUGAAAUUCGUAGAUAUUCGGAAGAACACCAGUGGCGAAGGCGGCUUUCUGGACUGUAACUGACACUGAGGUACGAAAGCGUGGGGAGCAAACAGGAUUAGAUACCCGGGUAGUCC
RNAcentral lists this ribosomal RNA (425 nucleotides) under uncultured bacterium. Its description in RNAcentral is "partial 16S ribosomal RNA". It matches the Rfam family "Bacterial small subunit ribosomal RNA", at positions 354 to 796 of the family's 1533-position model. The record is from RNAcentral.